This 3475-nucleotide long non-coding RNA is filed under the name Homo sapiens (human). RNAcentral describes it as "long intergenic non-protein coding RNA 1630". The record is from RNAcentral. Lineage: Eukaryota; Metazoa; Chordata; Mammalia; Primates; Hominidae.
GGGGAAGCUGUGAUGGCAAUGAGAAGUCAACACACUGAGGAUGGAGAGAAAGAAGAUGAGUCUGGGAGAGAAAGAGAAUGAUUCUUCUGGCCGAGGGAAAGCAAGAAUAUCUGUUCCUGCAACUGCACUGAUUCUAGAAACACUCUCUAUUCGAACUCUCAUGAGGUGCUGACCUGCUUGGUGAAUGCUGGGAUCUCUGGAAGAGGGAGGCAGACAUCACACACCAGCUGGCAAGUGGGAGCUGGCAUGCAACAUGCCCCAAUACCACUCCCCUCCUGCCAUCCCUAUCUCCUAAUGGUGCCUCCUUUUGGCCAAACCCACCUUUGGCUGGAGGGCAACAGAGCCCAUUGACGUGGUCCCCUUGCAUCUGCUACCUGGGGAGAAAAGCAGGAUGGACACUGAAUCUAGAGAAAUGAAGAAACCCAUCCAGAAGAAUACUGCUUCUUUAUGUUUUUGUAGGUGUACAAAUCAGGCCUCCCCAUGAUAUUCUAAACUCCUUGAGGAAAGAAGUGGAGUCCUGGGCUUCUGAUGUAGCCUCCACAGUGCUCAGGGGAUAGCGACACUGGCACCCUAUAGAUAUUUAAUUACAUGUGGACUGGAAGAGACCAAACAGCUUCCUGAGCGGCCCAGCCCUUGGAAUGUGUUUCUGCCACGACAAGGAAUACAGGAGGAGUUGAACAGGAAACCUGCCUCCUAUCAGAUUCACCUGAGGACGUGGGUUGUCACGAGCUCCCCAAACAAUAAAGCACUUUACGACAUAGGAGGCAUUAUUAUUAAGCUGUUUUCAGUCCCUGAUACCUGCAUGUUGUAGGACCAUGGUGCAUGAAGGAUUUUAAGGAGGCACUUUUGAAAUGUGAAAGGGACAUAGACUGUACAUCUGGAGCACAAAGGCAGGUUUAACCAGCUUUGUCCUGCUCGGCGCCAGUUGGAAGAGAGCAUCUGGCUUUGAAGUGUCUAAAGCCAGGCGUGACGCUGGAUUCUACAGCUGGGUUUUGCUUUGUCACCCAGGCUGGAGUGCAGUGCCAUGAUGGAGCUCAGUGCAGCCUUCAAUCCCUGGGCUCAAGGAAUCCUCUCACCUCAGCCUCCCAAAUAGCUAGGACUACAGGUACACACUACCACACCUAGCUAACUUUAAACUUUUUUUGUAGAGAUGGGGCCUUGCUCUGUUGCCCAGGCUGGUCUUGAACUUGCUGCCUCAAAGGAUUCCCCUGCAUUGGACUCCCAAAGCGCUGGGAAUACAGGCAUGAGCCACCAUGCCCAGCCUACCUCAUUUGUUGAUAGCACUGAUUCCUAACAGGGUUAUUUUCAUUCCUGGCUUAAAAAAAAUAACUUACCCUAUUUGCACACUGGAAUGGAAGUAAUGCAUUCAGUAAUUUCAGAACCUGAGUGUUGGCUGACAUCAAGCAACUGAGAUACACUGCAGCUGCUGUUGGAGAAGGAGGCUGGAGGCUGACUCAUGUUAUGUUGGCUGGCAGGAGUUUGAGACCAGCCUGGGUGGCAUAGCGAUAUCCCUGUCCUGUCUCUAGAAAACUAAAAACAUUUUAAAAAAUACUGGCUGGAUUUUCUAGCCUGCCAGACUAAUCUUCUUGAAAGAUUUAGACAUAAAUAAUUUAUUUUAGCCUUUGUCAUUAUUACUGUUAUGAUAGUAAAAUAAUGAAUCUUUUAAGUAUUUUUUGAAUGCUCAAGGUAUAUCUCUGAAAGAGUACCAACCAAAUGCUGAUAUUAGGGAUUAAAUCCAGUUUUGAGAGAGACAGCAAUUCAUUCAAACUUGUUGCAUGCAGGAUCCUAUGUCAAAGUGUAUAUGAGAGGGCACUCCGCUGGGUGGCGGCUGCUGUGGUUUGAAUCAUAUGCCUUAGUAUUGGUAUUUGACAAUAAGAGUUGUCAACCUGAAUUUCUAGUUGGAUGUAUAGCCAAGAAAAUAAGAAGUUCUGAGGGAGCGGGGAACUUUGAGGGGUGGAGUGGUCCCUCCAUGUACCCCUAUAUUACAGAUUGCAGGUUCAUACUGAGGAUUUUACCUUGAGCUUCUGGGCUCCACAGAACACUUGCGUGUUUCCAUAAGGGCCUAGAAGAAGUGUCUUCUAUUCCCAUGGACACAAUGCCAGAAUGUGAUUCCCUGGUUUUAUUUUAAGCUCUUUCUUCCACCCAGAAACACAACCCACCACCCCUGAGAAAAGAUGGGAAAUAAGUGGAUUAAACCAAACAUUCAGAAGCUGCUCAAUACAUUUCCUUGUGCGCUAAAGAGGAGGUACAGUGCUGGGGUCAAGAAAGCAGGGAAGGAGUCAGGGCAUGGGCACCCAAACCACUUAUUGGCCAUGUGUUCUGAGACAGGCUUCCUUCCUGGGCCCUGUCUAAAAACAAUGGGCAUAAUGACAACACCUACCUUAUAUGGUUAUUGAGAAGAAGAGGAGUUAACGUAUGUAAAGGGCAUGAACAGGUGUUCGGCUUAUAUAUGGUAAGUGGUCAGUAAGUGUAGUUUUUCUCUCAAAGACAGUUCUCCAGGCAGAGCAAGUGAGGAGGCCUUUUUUCCACCCCUCAGCCGUUCAGAACUGGAAAGCAGUUGUAUUUGCCCAUGCAUGGAGAUACUUCAGCUUUCCCAGAACUGAGCCCAUUUGCUAACACUACCUUUUCCCUAAGCUUCCCCUUGAGUACCCCUCUCUCCAUCCAGCUGUGAAGCUCUGAAAUGAACUAGAUCCCCAAAUGGCUGGUGGAAGCUGUUGGAAUAGAGGUGUUAGAGGAGAAGGCAGAGAAAUGUGACAGGAAUCCAGCAGGAUGUAGGAGUAGCCUGAAUAUGCAAGGGAAAACCUUGAGGUCUUGGCCAGUUUACUGUUUCUAGGGCUAAAUGUACCACAUCAAAGAAGGGAAAGGGAAGUUGUUCACCCAAGAUCUUCAGUUUUCUUCCCCAUGGCCUCAUUAUAGUGCCUUGUUUCUCUCUUGGGACUUCUGUUUUCUCUGCCUUGUAUUGUCAUUGUGUUCUUAAUGUUAACAUUUUUUCUACAAUUGCAGUCUUAAUGGAGAAUAUGUUAAAGAACAUGUAGAGAUACUAAGAUCAGACAAAUUUCUCCAAUUUCCUUGUGCUUAAAAAAUGUGUUAAGUGUUUACUAUCUCUUCUUUCUAUUGCCUUCGAAAGAGAAAGACACAUUUGUUGGGCAAGGCAUUGAUGUGCUUCCAGGGGUAGUGGGGUGAGAAGUCUAGUGGAAGGAGGUAGUUUUGGUGGGUGAAGGAGGUAGUUUUGGUGGGCAAAGGAGGUGGAGUGAGAGAGAGGAAAGGUGAGGUAAGAAAGAGAACUUGCAAAAGUUGAAGCUUUUACAAAGCAGGGAGGAGAUGAACUUGUAUCAGCUGUGGUGAUGUGGCUUUGGGCGAGAUGCGGAAAGAGACGAGAAAAGAACUUCAAAGGAAGGUAUUGUUAUGCAUUGGGUAGUGCGGGUCUCUCUUCACUUUGUCCUCCCUUUUAAAAUGAAAAGGUCUUCAUUAAAGA